This 468-nucleotide ribosomal RNA is filed under the name uncultured bacterium. RNAcentral describes it as "partial 16S ribosomal RNA". It matches the Rfam family "Bacterial small subunit ribosomal RNA", at positions 28 to 507 of the family's 1533-position model. The record is from RNAcentral.
GACGAACGCUGGCGGCGUGCUUAACACAUGCAAGUCGAACGGGAAGGCCCUGCUUUUGUGGGGUGCUCGAGUGGCGAACGGGUGAGUAACACGUGAGUAACCUGCCCUUGACUUUGGGAUAACUUCAGGAAACUGGGGCUAAUACCGGAUAGGAGCUCCUGCUGCAUGGUGGGGGUUGGAAAGUUCCGGCGGUUGGGGAUGGACUCGCGGCUUAUCAGCUUCUUGGUGGGGUAGUGGCUUACCAAGGCUUUGACGGAUAGCCGGCCUGAGAGGGUGACCGGCGACAUGGGGACUGAGAGACGGCCCAGACGCCUACGGGAGGCAGCAGGGGGAAAUAUUGCGCAAUGGGCGGGAGCCUGAUACAGCAGCGCCGGGUGCGGGAUGACGGCCUUCGAGUUGUAAACCGCUUUCGCCUGUAACGAGGCGUGAGUGACGGUAAUGAGUAAAGAAGCACCGGCUAACUACGUG